Molecule: long non-coding RNA, 1033 nt
Organism: Monomorium pharaonis (pharaoh ant)
Lineage: Eukaryota; Metazoa; Arthropoda; Insecta; Hymenoptera; Formicidae
Exons: 3
Source: RefSeq, a predicted model, not a curated record
AUAAAAUUGCCUAUGCGGUUCUUGAUACUGAAUAAUAAUUUUUCUCUAAAUUUUAAUAUUUCUAGCUUUAAUAUUUCUAUGAACUGCAUACUGAUAUUUUUGUCAACCUUGAAACAUAGUUACUAGUAGACAUCAAUGCUCAAAAGUAUCUAUAAGAUUCCUUUCCCGAAAAAUUAAAUAAUUUAUGGCGAAAAAAUACUUCAGCCAGAAUUCGUAUCUGGAUCUCCUUAUUUCGUGCGAGCAUUUUUCCAUUUGAAUAUUUAACUUAUUUGUAUAUAUUGUGAAUAAUUUAAAUUGAAAUAAUUACAUUAUGAUUUACAAGAAAUAACUUAUUCCCGUUCCGUACUAUGCGCAUGUAAAUAAUUCUGUGAAAUCUGUAUACCGGAUCUGCAUUUAGCGUAGCUUUCAGUCGCGCAAGCGUUUUAACACAUUUCGAAAGCGCAUACGCGAACUUUAUCGUAUACGCGGUCGUCAUGACGGCACCGCGACGCCGACAAACGCGGGAACAUCAGACGUCGCGAUGCGUCUGUGACGUGUUAGUCGGUGUCGCGGCGUCGUUCGAGGAUCGACCAUGCCUCGAUCUGUGCCCUCGCCGCGUUAAUCGUAGGACCAUUUCUUUUUUCGUCGAGACGCAAUGUGCUGAUACAAAAUGAAUUAUAAACGUUCACAAAAACUAGUCGUUUCUCGCGCGAUGGGGAUCGAUACCAAAAGCGUGGAAUGAUUGAGAGAUACGAUCACAGCGUGAACAGAAAAGCCAGUUGAACGAUUCUUUCUCACGUGCAACGGUUUGCAUAGCGUGAUAGGAGUAUGUCUUAUCGAAGAUUGGAAUAAGUUUUCAACUUCUUUAUGCUGAUAAUUUUUUGAAAGGUUUUAACAAUCUACACAUAUCAAUUUUACGCCAGAAAUACUGUAACGUGUCCGUCAACAGUGUACCAAUGUUUGCCUACUUUCCGGAGCUUUACACAUAAUAAAAUUUUCUCACGAACACGAUGUAUUUGGACAGAAUAUAUGUAGAAAAGUUCUUUAGUUAAAA